CGGAGGGGGCUAGCGUUGUUCGGAAUUACUGGGCGUAAAGGGCGCGUAGGCGGCGUAUCAAGUUGGGAGUGAAAGCCUGGGGCUUAACCUCAGAAUUGCUUUCAAAACUGAUAUGCUUGAGAACGGUAGAGGAUGGUGGAAUUCCUAGUGUAGAGGUGAAAUUCGUAGAUAUUAGGAGGAACACCGGUGGCGAAGGCGGCCAUCUGGGCCGAUUCUGACGCUGAGGCGCGAAAGCGUGGGGAGCAAACAGGAUUAGAUACCCUGGUAGUCCACGCUGUAAACGAUGAGUGCUAGAUAUUGGGACGUUAAGUCUUGGUGUCGCAGCUAACGCAUUAAGCACUCCGCCUGGGGAGUACGGUCGCAAGAUUA
Molecule: ribosomal RNA, 369 nt
Filed under: uncultured organism
Description: bacterial SSU rRNA
Rfam family: Bacterial small subunit ribosomal RNA
Source: RNAcentral